This is a small nucleolar RNA of Suncus etruscus (white-toothed pygmy shrew), 130 nucleotides long. RefSeq annotates it as small nucleolar RNA SNORA72. Lineage: Eukaryota; Metazoa; Chordata; Mammalia; Eulipotyphla; Soricidae. The record is from RefSeq and is a predicted model, not a curated record. The transcript has a single exon.
UUGAAAGUGCUUGCUGUUUCAUUUUUAUAAUCAUCAGGGCAGUCUAAAUAUUUUCUAUAUUAAUAUAAUUCCUAUAUCCCCAGAACUAGUUAUUUCCGAAGCUCUUGUUUUAUAAAUGUUAGUGAUAAAC